CACAAAAAAAUUCUGCAGUAGCAGAAGCCUCCUCAUGUCAGUUGGGACCAAGACAAAAGCAAUUCUUUAGGAGACAGAGGAUUGGAAAUAAAAGGAGAAAAAGGCGAGAAAGCGAAACAAUUGAAUUGGGCUCAUGUUCGCACUUUUC
Non-coding RNA from Caenorhabditis elegans, 148 nucleotides. NCBI's taxonomy places the organism in Eukaryota, Metazoa, Nematoda, Chromadorea, Rhabditida, Rhabditidae. The record is from Ensembl.